CCUACGGGAGGCAGCAGUGAGGAAUAUUGGUCAAUGGACGCAAGUCUGAACCAGCCAUGCCGCGUGCAGGAAGACGGCUCUAUGAGUUGUAAACUGCUUUUGUACGAGGAUAAACGCAGAUACGCGUAUCUGUCUGAAAGUAUCUUACGAAAAAGGAUCGGCUAACUCCGUGCCAGCAGCCGCGGUAAUACGGAGGAUUCAAGCGUUAUCCGGAUUUAUUGGGUUUAAAGGGUGCGUAGGCGGUCGGAUAAGUUAGCGGUGAAAUCCCGAGGCUCAACUUCGGAAUUGCCUCUGAUACUGGUAGGCUAGAGAGUAGUAGCGGUAGGUGGAAUGUAUGGUGUAGCGGUGAAAUGCAUAGAUAUCGCGCAGAACUCCGAUUGCGAAGGCAGCAUACCGGCGCUAAACUGACGCUGAGGCACGAAAGCGUGGGGAUCGAACAGGAUUAGAUACCCGGGUAGUC
Molecule: ribosomal RNA, 460 nt
Filed under: uncultured bacterium
Lineage: Bacteria
Description: partial 16S ribosomal RNA
Rfam family: Bacterial small subunit ribosomal RNA
Source: RNAcentral